Molecule: ribosomal RNA, 1490 nt
Filed under: Bacteroides fragilis
Lineage: Bacteria; Pseudomonadati; Bacteroidota; Bacteroidia; Bacteroidales; Bacteroidaceae
Description: bacterial SSU rRNA
Rfam family: Bacterial small subunit ribosomal RNA
Source: RNAcentral
AGAGUUUGAUCCUGGCUCAGGAUGAACGCUAGCUACAGGCUUAACACAUGCAAGUCGAGGGGCAUCAGGAAGAAAGCUUGCUUUCUUUGCUGGCGACCGGCGCACGGGUGAGUAACACGUAUCCAACCUGCCCUUUACUCGGGGAUAGCCUUUCGAAAGAAAGAUUAAUACCCGAUAGCAUAAUGAUUCCGCAUGGUUUCAUUAUUAAAGGAUUCCGGUAAAGGAUGGGGAUGCGUUCCAUUAGGUUGUUGGUGAGGUAACGGCUCACCAAGNCUUCGAUGGAUAGGGGUUCUGAGAGGAAGGUCCCCCACAUUGGAACUGAGACACGGUCCAAACUCCUACGGGAGGCAGCAGUGAGGAAUAUUGGUCAAUGGGCGCUAGCCUGAACCAGCCAAGUAGCGUGAAGGAUGAAGGCUCUAUGGGUCGUAAACUUCUUUUAUAUAAGAAUAAAGUGCAGUAUGUAUACUGUUUUGUAUGUAUUAUAUGAAUAAGGAUCGGCUAACUCCGUGCCAGCAGCCGCGGUAAUACGGAGGAUCCGAGCGUUAUCCGGAUUUAUUGGGUUUAAAGGGAGCGUAGGUGGACUGGUAAGUCAGUUGUGAAAGUUUGCGGCUCAACCGUAAAAUUGCAGUUGAUACUGUCAGUCUUGAGUACAGUAGAGGUGGGCGGAAUUCGUGGUGUAGCGGUGAAAUGCUUAGAUAUCACGAAGAACUCCGAUUGCGAAGGCAGCUCACUGGACUGCAACUGACACUGAUGCUCGAAAGUGUGGGUAUCAAACAGGAUUAGAUACCCUGGUAGUCCACACAGUAAACGAUGAAUACUCGCUGUUUGCGAUAUACAGUAAGCGGCCAAGCGAAAGCAUUAAGUAUUCCACCUGGGGAGUACGCCGGCAACGGUGAAACUCAAAGGAAUUGACGGGGGCCCGCACAAGCGGAGGAACAUGUGGUUUAAUUCGAUGAUACGCGAGGAACCUUACCCGGGCUUAAAUUGCAGUGGAAUGAUGUGGAAACAUGUCAGUGAGCAAUCACCGCUGUGAAGGUGCUGCAUGGUUGUCGUCAGCUCGUGCCGUGAGGUGUCGGCUUAAGUGCCAUAACGAGCGCAACCCUUAUCUUUAGUUACUAACAGGUUAUGCUGAGGACUCUAGAGAGACUGCCGUCGUAAGAUGUGAGGAAGGUGGGGAUGACGUCAAAUCAGCACGGCCCUUACGUCCGGGGCUACACACGUGUUACAAUGGGGGGUACAGAAGGCAGCUAGCGGGUGACCGUAUGCUAAUCCCAAAAGCCUCUCUCAGUUCGGAUCGAAGUCUGCAACCCGACUUCGUGAAGCUGGAUUCGCUAGUAAUCGCGCAUCAGCCACGGCGCGGUGAAUACGUUCCCGGGCCUUGUACACACCGCCCGUCAAGCCAUGGGAGCCGGGGGUACCUGAAGUACGUAACCGCAAGGAUCGUCCUAGGGUAAAACUGGUGACUGGGGCUAAGUCGUAACAAGGUAACC